AUUGAACGCUGGCGGCAGGCCUAACACAUGCAAGUCGAGCGGAUGAAGGGAGCUUGCUCCUGGCUUCAGCGGCGGACGGGUGAGUAAUGCCUAGGAAUCUGCCUGGUAGUUGGGGAUAACGUCCGGAAACGGGCGCUAAUACCGCAUACGUCCUGAGGUAGAAAGUGGGGGAUCUUCGGACCUCACGCUAUCAGAUGAGCCUAGGUCGGAUUAGCUAGUUGGUGGGGUAAAGGCCUACCAAGGCGACGAUCCGUAACUGGUCUGAGAGGAUGAUCAGUCACACUGGAACUGAGACACGGUCCAGACUCCUACGGGAGGCAGCAGUGGGGAAUAUUGGACAAUGGGCGAAAGCCUGAUCCAGCCAUGCCGCGUGUGUGAAGAAGGUCUUCGGAUUGUAAAGCACUGUAAGUUGGGAGGAAGGGCAGUAAGUUAAUACCUGGCUGUUUUGACGGUACCAAAAGAAUAAGCACCGGCUAACUUCGUG
RNAcentral lists this ribosomal RNA (484 nucleotides) under uncultured bacterium. RNAcentral describes it as "partial 16S ribosomal RNA". It matches the Rfam family "Bacterial small subunit ribosomal RNA", at positions 30 to 507 of the family's 1533-position model. The record is from RNAcentral.